AGACUAGACUGGUGUCUUGUCUUACAGUCUUAGUCUUGUCAAGAGCCUACUCUUGGUCUUGUCUUAUUAGAGGUCUUGUUGGAGAGUGGACUGUGGCUCUGACUGUGGAGACUUGGAGCUAUGGACAAAUUAAGGAAAAAGCAACUAGAAGCUAUUCAAGUUGUUGAAGAAAGAAUAAAGCAAUGGUAGAGCCAGAACUACAGUCAAUCAUUUUGAUAAAACUCUUGCACGGUUGUAAUCUGGGCAAUGGGGGGGUAAAGCUAUAAUUUUUGUCUAGCUUGUUGUGACAAGAAUGUAGUAGCCAGACUCCUAGAAAGGAGCCUGGCAAUGCAACGCUAAGAAUGUACAUGUAUAUUGUUAGUCUCGCUAGCCAGACCAUUACCCAGCCUAUAUAGUCAGUGGGGUCCGAGGCUAUAUACAUGUAGGUUACAUGAUUAUGCAUUUGAUAUUUUGUGUCUUAUUUUAUGCCAUCUACAUGUACAUUGAAUUUUACUCAUGUCAAUUAAGUUUUAAAUGUAUUUGGUAUAGACCAGUUGGUGCUAACUACAGUCACAGAAUUUUAAGUAUAUUCAUCGUGAUACUGUAAAUAAAGUAAAAUCAAUGGUUGUCUAUGGAGCAAUCGCAAGAAGAGCUUAUUCUUUAACAACUGCUGUAUUUAUUUGUUACAGCAAUCAUUUCAGCAAUCUUGCUACUAACCAUCAUCCAGUGUCUGCAGUGGGCUCAUGGACUUUACUAAGUGCUACUAGAAGAUAUAGAAGCAAAGAUAUUGCUUUCUCCGAUUCUACUCUUAAUAAACUAAGACUCCAAAAUUGUGGAUUGAGUUUGAAAGGGACUAUGAAAUUUUAUUGGAACGUUUAAAUUCUUUGCCAAAAAAAUUAUCGGCUAACAUAAUGGUACCUAUUGGAAAAGUUGCCUAUAUCCCAGGACAAUUGUAUAGAACAAAUGAGGUACUAGCAUUCUUAGGUGAUAAUUGGUUUGCUGAAAGAACAGCUUAUCAAGUAUGCUACAUUGUUGAGCAUCGCUUACAAGGUAUUGCAAGUUAAUAUACAUGUAAGGAUGUACAUGUACCACUCACUAUCUAUUUGAUUUCAACAUUUUCUUAUGUUCAAAUGGCUGCAUCUAAAGUCUUUGUGGCUGUAUGAACUUUUUAGAUACAGGAUUUUCACCACACAAUACAGGCUUUAUGUUCAGUAGCAUUGCAAGUUACAUGUACAUGUACGUGUACAACUGUACAUGUUGCAAAAGUACUGGCAAUGUGUGGCUGCUUUGUCCCAUAUUUAAGUGCUGGACUAAGUUAUACAUGUGGUGCAUGUACAUUGUUAUGGUAAGUAUUUCAAUGAUUCAUGUUUUAAUUAAGCUGCAUUGUGAACAGUUUACAACAUGCAUGUUCCCCUUUUAAUGUGAACAUAUCGUAUUCCCUUAAAUGGGUGGCCCUACUCACAUAAGUGCCUAUCAAUAAUAUAUUACCAUUAUACAAUGUAGAUACGCAUAUUUUACCCAGUACUACAUGCAUGUGCAGUAUUGUGCACCUCUGUUUAGAGUGGUCCAAGUAGCCUAAUUGUUCAUCCUCAGUCUUCUGAACAUAGAGGUGCAGGUUUUAGCCUGGGUUUUGAUCUGUAUUAUUUUAGUAUUUUGUGAUUUUUGCCUCUGUUAAGCAGUAAAUGCCUAGGCCCUUAUUCAAGGAAAUAUGGUACAUGCAUGUACAUGUAGUUAAGGCAUUGAAUUUUUAUUAAAUGAAAACUUGAAUGAUGCUAUUUACCUGUACAUUGCACAGUGUGUAAUAUCAGUCACUUUUGAUAAAUAAAUUUUGGAAACGAAUAAUUAGAGUAAUCUAAGCCUUUAUGGCCAACUAACAAUUAAUUAUGAUGAAAUAGGAGGCACUAAGAUGCAUGUUUGGAUAAGAUAUUGUAAGUCUGCCGAUGCUUCUUUGUUGCUUAACUAAUAAUCUUCACAAUCUGAAUCUUGAACUUAGGCCUACUAAUGGCAGUCAUCUGUCCGGCAGAGUGCUGCUCGAGGCAUCACUGUGAGUUAGACACUAUUUUUGGCCUCUUCCAGCACAGGUCCAUGUGUUAUAAUGCUGUCGAGUGUUGAAAUUGGAUGGAAAUAAUGAAAUUAGAAGAACUUUCAUUAUAAUUAACAAAACAAAUAAUUAGAAUU
Molecule: unclassified non-coding RNA, 2157 nt
Filed under: Amphimedon queenslandica
Lineage: Eukaryota; Metazoa; Porifera; Demospongiae; Haplosclerida; Niphatidae
Description: unconventional prefoldin RPB5 interactor 1-like, transcript variant X1
Source: RNAcentral